Long non-coding RNA from Anguilla anguilla (European eel), 171 nucleotides. RefSeq lists it as uncharacterized. The record is from RefSeq and is a predicted model, not a curated record. The transcript is spliced from 3 exons. Lineage: Eukaryota; Metazoa; Chordata; Actinopteri; Anguilliformes; Anguillidae.
UGAUCAUGAUCUUCUUCUGCAGGGAAAGAGAAGAGCAACGGUCUGAGGUCUGUGUUUCUCACACCAGCAAUCCCAGGACACUCUCCAGCUGCAGUGGGCCCAGCAGUUGUGAUUUCGAGGAAAAUGAGGAAACCUCCUGCAGACCUCCCGCAGACCUCCCGCAGACCUCCC